Non-coding RNA from Cnephaeus nilssonii (northern bat), 74 nucleotides. NCBI's taxonomy places the organism in Eukaryota, Metazoa, Chordata, Mammalia, Chiroptera, Vespertilionidae. The record is from the annotation of a GenBank genome assembly.
GGCUGUUUAGCUCAGGUGGUCAGGGUAUUGAGCUAAUGAGAACAAGGUCACAGGUUCAAUCUUUGUGUGGGCCA